CCCUUAGACGUUCUGGGCCGCACGCGCGCUACACUGACAAAGGCAACGAGCUACUCUUCACCGAAAGGUGUGGGUAAUCUUUUGAAACUUUGUCGUGCUGGGGAUAGAUCCUUGCAAUUUUUGAUCUUAAACGAGGAAUUCCUAGUAAGCGCAAGUCAUCAACUUGCGUUGAUUACGUCCCUGCCCUUUGUACACACCGCCCGUCGCUACUACCGAUUGAAUGGUUUAGUGAGGCCUUCGGAUCCGCGACUCGUUUGUGGAGAAGUUGGACAAACUCAGUCAUUUAGAGGAAGUAAAANUCGUANCA
This 307-nucleotide ribosomal RNA is filed under the name uncultured eukaryote. Its description in RNAcentral is "partial 18S ribosomal RNA". It matches the Rfam family "Eukaryotic small subunit ribosomal RNA", at positions 1470 to 1796 of the family's 1831-position model. The record is from RNAcentral.